GAUGAACGCUGGCGGCGUGCCUAAUACAUGCAAGUCGAGCGAACGGACGAGAAGCUUGCUUCUCUGAUGUUAGCGGCGGACGGGUGAGUAACACGUGGAUAACCUACCUAUAAGACUGGGAUAACUUCGGGAAACCGGAGCUAAUACCGGAUAAUAUUUUGAACCGCAUGGUUCAAAAGUGAAAGACGGUCUUGCUGUCACUUAUAGAUGGAUCCGCGCUGCAUUAGCUAGUUGGUAAGGUAACGGCUUACCAAGGCAACGAUGCAUAGCCGACCGGAGAGGGUGAUCGGCCACACGGGAACUGAGACACGGUCCAGACUCCUACGGGAGGCAGCAGUAGGGAAUCUUCCGCAAUGGGCGAAAGCCUGACGGAGCAACGCCGCGUGAGUGAUGAAGGUCUUCGGAUCGUAAAACUCUGUUAUUAGGGAAGAACAUAUGUGUAAGUAACUGUGCACAUCUUGACGGUACCUAAUCAGAAAGCCACGGCUAACUACGUG
Molecule: ribosomal RNA, 497 nt
Filed under: uncultured bacterium
Lineage: Bacteria
Description: partial 16S ribosomal RNA
Rfam family: Bacterial small subunit ribosomal RNA
Source: RNAcentral